AGUGAACGCUGGCGGUAGGCCUAACACAUGCAAGUCGAACGGCAGCACAGUAAGCGCUUGCUCUUACGGGUGGCGAGUGGCGGACGGGUGAGGAAUACAUCGGCAUCUACUUUUUCGAGGGGGAUAACGUAGGGAAAAUUACGCUAAUACCGCAUACGACCUACGGGUGAAAGCAGGAGAUCUUCGGACCUUGCGCGAGUGAAUGAGCCGAUGUCGGAUUAGCUAGUUGGCGGGGUAAAGGCCCACCAAGGCGACGAUCCGUAGCUGGUCUGAGAGGAUGAUCAGCCACACUGGAACUGAGACACGGUCCAGACUCCUACGGGAGGCAGCAGUGGGGAAUAUUGGACAAUGGGCGCAAGCCUGAUCCAGCCAUACCGCGUGCGUGAAGAAGGCCUUCGGGUUGUAAAGCCCUUUUGUUGGGAAAGAAAAGCAGCAGGUUAAUACCCCGCUGUUCUGACGGUACCCAAAGAAUAAGCACCGGCUAACUUCGUG
Molecule: ribosomal RNA, 492 nt
Filed under: uncultured bacterium
Lineage: Bacteria
Description: partial 16S ribosomal RNA
Rfam family: Bacterial small subunit ribosomal RNA
Source: RNAcentral